RNAcentral lists this unclassified non-coding RNA (590 nucleotides) under Hevea brasiliensis (rubber tree). Lineage: Eukaryota; Viridiplantae; Streptophyta; Magnoliopsida; Malpighiales; Euphorbiaceae. The record is from RNAcentral.
AACUUAUCUUGUUCAGUAUGUGAUGUUCUUUUUUUUUUUCUUUUAUGUUAUUUCUAUUGAUUUAUUUAUCUGUUUUCCCUAAUAAGUAGCUUCAUUGAUUAUUAGUUAACUCAAUUGUUGAGCAAAUUUUGAUUGCUUUUUUCUUGUCCUUUUCUGAUAGUGUUGAAGAAAUUUGUGAUGUUGAAAACAAUGUAUCUGCAGUCAACUGCAUUAAAAAGCAAUAAAUGUUGAAUGUGUGAAUGAAGUUUUAUAUAUAUAUGCUUAAAAGUCAUUUUCGCUGGUUAACCUUGGUUUUUGCCUUUUCAAGUAGGGGUGAGCAUUAUUCGGUUCAAACCGAAUAAACCGAACCAAACCGCCUUAAUUCGAUAAUUCGGUUCAGUUUUUAAGAUAAUUCAGUUCGGUUCGGUUUUAUAUUAAAAAAUUUUCAGUUUUUUCGGUUUGGUUUGGUUUUGAAGAGAAAAAAAAUCGGUUAAACCGAACCGAACCGAAUCGAACCAAAUAAGUUUAUUGAUUUUUGAAUUGAUUUAUUUUUAUGGAGAAUUUAUGAAUUAUAUAUAAUUUUAUACAUAUAAAUUGUUUAAUUUCAUUGA